Cornus florida is the source of this 82-nucleotide small nucleolar RNA. The record is from RefSeq and is a predicted model, not a curated record. Lineage: Eukaryota; Viridiplantae; Streptophyta; Magnoliopsida; Cornales; Cornaceae.
GAGCAUAUGAUGAAUAAAUAAUCAUUUUGGGCUGAUUGAAAUCAUGAAGUUCCAAAUUCGAGCUUUUUAAAACUGAUGCUCC